RNAcentral lists this ribosomal RNA (1052 nucleotides) under uncultured Pedobacter sp. Its description in RNAcentral is "bacterial SSU rRNA". It matches the Rfam family "Bacterial small subunit ribosomal RNA", at positions 273 to 1326 of the family's 1533-position model. Lineage: Bacteria; Pseudomonadati; Bacteroidota; Sphingobacteriia; Sphingobacteriales; Sphingobacteriaceae. The record is from RNAcentral.
GCGACGAUGACUAGGGGAUCUGAGAGGAUGACCCCCCCACACUGGUACUGAGACACGGACCAGACUCCUACGGGAGGCAGCAGUAAGGAAUAUUGGUCAAUGGAGGCAACUCUGAACCAGCCAUGCCGCGUGCAGGAAGACAGCCCUCUGGGUCGUAAACUGCUUUUAUUCGGGAAUAAACCUUUCUACGUGUAGAGAGCUGAAUGUACCGAAGGAAUAAGGAUCGGCUAACUCCGUGCCAGCAGCCGCGGUAAUACGGAGGAUCCAAGCGUUAUCCGGAUUUAUUGGGUUUAAAGGGUGCGUAGGCGGCUUAUUAAGUCAGGGGUGAAAGACGGUGGCUCAACCAUCGCAGUGCCUUUGAUACUGAUGAGCUUGAAUGAACUAGAGGUAGGCGGAAUGUGACAAGUAGCGGUGAAAUGCAUAGAUAUGUCACAGAACACCGAUUGCGAAGGCAGCUUACUAUGGUUUUAUUGACGCUGAGGCACGAAAGCGUGGGGAUCAAACAGGAUUAGAUACCCUGGUAGUCCACGCCCUAAACGAUGAAUACUCGCUGUUAGCGAUACACAGUUAGCGGCUAAGCGAAAGCGUUAAGUAUUCCACCUGGGGAGUACGCCCGCAAGGGUGAAACUCAAAGGAAUUGACGGGGGCCCGCACAAGCGGAGGAGCAUGUGGUUUAAUUCGAUGAUACGCGAGGAACCUUACCCGGGCUUGAAAGUUAGUGAAUGGUUUAGAGAUAGACCAGUCCGCAAGGACACGAAACUAGGUGCUGCAUGGCUGUCGUCAGCUCGUGCCGUGAGGUGUUGGGUUAAGUCCCGCAACGAGCGCAACCCCUAUGUUUAGUUGCCAGCACGUUAAGGUGGGGACUCUAAACAGACUGCCUGUGCAAACAGAGAGGAAGGAGGGGACGACGUCAAGUCAUCAUGGCCCUUACGUCCGGGGCUACACACGUGCUACAAUGGAUGGUACAGAGGGCAGCAAGCUGGCAACAGCAAGCAAAUCUCAAAAAGCCAUUCACAGUUCGGAUAGAGGUCUGCAACUCGACCUCUUGAAGU